AGAGUUUGAUCAUGGCUCAGAUUGAACGCUGGCGGCAGGCCUAACACAUGCAAGUCGAACGGUAACAGGAAUCAGCUUGCUGAUUUGCUGACGAGUGGCGGACGGGUGAGUAAUGUCUGGGAAACUGCCUGAUGGAGGGGGAUAACUACUGGAAACGGUAGCUAAUACCGCAUAAUGUCGCAAGACCAAAGAGGGGGACCUUCGGGCCUCUUGCCAUCGGAUGUGCCCAGAUGGGAUUAGCUAGUAGGUGGGGUAAAGGCUCACCUAGGCGACGAUCCCUAGCUGGUCUGAGAGGAUGACCAGCCACACUGGAACUGAGACACGGUCCAGACUCCUACGGGAGGCAGCAGUGGGGAAUAUUGCACAAUGGGCGCAAGCCUGAUGCAGCCAUGCCGCGUGUAUGAAGAAGGCCUUCGGGUUGUAAAGUACUUUCAGCGGGGAGGAAGGGAGUAAAGUUAAUACCUUUGCUCAUUGACGUUACCCGCAGAAGAAGCACCGGCUAACUCCGUGCCAGCAGCCGCGGUAAUACGGAGGGUGCAAGCGUUAAUCGGAAUUACUGGGCGUAAAGCGCACGCAGGCGGUUUGUUAAGUCAGAUGUGAAAUCCCCGGGCUCAACCUGGGAACUGCAUCUGAUACUGGCAAGCUUGAGUCUCGUAGAGGGGGGUAGAAUUCCAGGUGUAGCGGUGAAAUGCGUAGAGAUCUGGAGGAAUACCGGUGGCGAAGGCGGCCCCCUGGACGAAGACUGACGCUCAGGUGCGAAAGCGUGGGGAGCAAACAGGAUUAGAUACCCUGGUAGUCCACGCCGUAAACGAUGUCGACUUGGAGGUUGUGCCCUUGAGGCGUGGCUUCCGGAGCUAACGCGUUAAGUCGACCGCCUGGGGAGUACGGCCGCAAGGUUAAAACUCAAAUGAAUUGACGGGGGCCCGCACAAGCGGUGGAGCAUGUGGUUUAAUUCGAUGCAACGCGAAGAACCUUACCUGGUCUUGACAUCCACGGAAGUUUUCAGAGAUGAGAAUGUGCCUUCGGGAACCGUGAGACAGGUGCUGCAUGGCUGUCGUCAGCUCGUGUUGUGAAAUGUUGGGUUAAGUCCCGCAACGAGCGCAACCCUUAUCCUUUGUUGCCAGCGGUCCGGCCGGGAACUCAAAGGAGACUGCCAGUGAUAAACUGGAGGAAGGUGGGGAUGACGUCAAGUCAUCAUGGCCCUUACGACCAGGGCUACACACGUGCUACAAUGGCGCAUACAAAGAGAAGCGAUCUCGCGAGAGCAAGCGGACCUCAUAAAGUGCGUCGUAGUCCGGAUUGGAGUCUGCAACUCGACUCCAUGAAGUCGGAAUCGCUAGUAAUCGUGGAUCAGAAUGCCACGGUGAAUACGUUCCCGGGCCUUGUACACACCGCCCGUCACACCAUGGGAGUGGGUUGCAAAAGAAGUAGGUAGCUUAACCUUCGGGAGGGCGCUUACCACUUUGUGAUUCAUGACUGGGGUGAAGUCGUAACAAGGUAACCGUAGGGGAACCUGCGGUUGGAUCACCU
Molecule: ribosomal RNA, 1530 nt
Filed under: Escherichia coli KTE201
Lineage: Bacteria; Pseudomonadati; Pseudomonadota; Gammaproteobacteria; Enterobacterales; Enterobacteriaceae
Description: bacterial SSU rRNA
Rfam family: Bacterial small subunit ribosomal RNA
Source: RNAcentral